GACGACGCUGGCGGCGUGCCUAACACAUGCAAGUCGAGCGGAGAUAGGCGGAAGGUAACUGAAGCUUAUCUUAGCGGCGGACGGGUGAGUAACACGUGGGCAACCUGCCUUGAAGUGGGGGAUAACACCGGGAAAUCGGUGCUAAUACCGCAUAACAUACACAAACUGCAUGGUGAGUGUAUCAAAGGAGCAAUCCGCUUUAAGAUGGGCCCGCGGCUGAUUAGCUAGUUGGUAAGGUAACGGCUUACCAAGGCGACGAUCAGUAGCCGACCUGAGAGGGUGACCGGCCACACUGGAACUGAGACACGGUCCAGACUCCUACGGGAGGCAGCAGUGGGGAAUAUUGCACAAUGGGCGCAAGCCUGAUGCAGCGACGCCGCGUGAGUGAAGAAGUAUUUCGGUAUGUAAAGCUCUAUCAGCAGGGAAGAAAGGCCCUUUUAGGGAGAUGACGGUACCUGACUAAGAAGCCCCGGCUAACUACGUG
RNAcentral lists this ribosomal RNA (484 nucleotides) under uncultured bacterium. RNAcentral's name for it is "bacterial SSU rRNA". It matches the Rfam family "Bacterial small subunit ribosomal RNA", at positions 33 to 507 of the family's 1533-position model. The record is from RNAcentral.